AGUGAACGCUGGCGGUGUGCCUAACACAUGCAAGUCGAACGGCAGCACAGUAAGAGCUUGCUCUUACGGGUGGCGAGUGGCGGACGGGUGAGGAAUACAUCGGAAUCUACUUUUUCGUGGGUGAUAACGUAGGGAAACUUACGCUAAUACCGCAUACGACCUACGGGUGAAAGCAGGGGAUCUUCGGACCUUGCGCGAUUGAAUUAGCCGAUUUCGGAUUAGCUAGUUGGCGGGGUAAAGUCCCACCAAGGCGACGAUCCGUAGCUGGUCUGAGAGGAUGAUCAGCCACACUGGAACUGAGACACGGUCCAGACUCCUACGGGAGGCAGCAGUGGGGAAUAUUGGACAAUGGGCGCAAGCCUGAUCCAGCCAUACCGCGUGGGUGAAGAAGGCCUUCGGGUUGUAAAGCCCUUUUGUUGGGAAAGAAAAGCAGCAGGUUAAUACCCCGCUGUUCUGACGGUACCCAAAGAAUAAGCACCGGCUAACUUCGUG
RNAcentral lists this ribosomal RNA (492 nucleotides) under uncultured bacterium. RNAcentral describes it as "partial 16S ribosomal RNA". It matches the Rfam family "Bacterial small subunit ribosomal RNA", at positions 29 to 507 of the family's 1533-position model. The record is from RNAcentral.